CCUGUCCUACGGGAGGCAGCAGUGAGGAAUAUUGGUCAAUGGGCUUACGCCUGAACCAGCCAAGUCGCGUGAGGGAAGACUGCCCUAUGGGUUGUAAACCUCUUUUGUCAGGGAGCAACGCCGGCUACGUGUAGCCGGACUGAGAGUACCUGAAGAAAAAGCAUCGGCUAACUCCGUGCCAGCAGCCGCGGUCAUACGUAGGAUCCGAGCAUUAUCCGGAGUGACUGGGCGUAAAGAGUUGCGUAGGUGGCAUAAUAAGUAGCUAGUGAAAUCUGGUGGCUCAACCAUUCAGACUAUUAGCUAAA
This 305-nucleotide ribosomal RNA is filed under the name uncultured bacterium. RNAcentral describes it as "bacterial SSU rRNA". It matches the Rfam family "Bacterial small subunit ribosomal RNA", at positions 333 to 632 of the family's 1533-position model. The record is from RNAcentral.